GAUGAAGAACGUAGCGAAAUGCGAUAAGUAAUGUGAAUUGCAGAAUUCAGUGAAUCAUCGAAUCUUUGAACGCACAUUGCGCCCGCCAGUAUUCUGGCGGGCAUGCCUGUUCGAGCGUCAUUUCAACCAUCAAGCCCAAGGCUUGUGUUGGGGACCUGCGGCUGCCGCAGGCCCUGAAAACCAGUGGCGGGCUCGCUGUCACACCGGGCGUAGUAGAUUUUAUCUCGCUCAGGGCGUGCUGCGGGUCCCGGCCGUUAAAAGCCUUUUUUUACCCAAGGUUGACCUCGGAUCAGGUAGGAAGACCCGCUGAACUUAAGCAUAUCAAUAAGCGGAGGA
Molecule: unclassified non-coding RNA, 336 nt
Filed under: soil metagenome
Description: partial contains 5.8S ribosomal RNA, internal transcribed spacer 2, and large subunit ribosomal RNA
Rfam family: 5.8S ribosomal RNA (bases 1-120)
Source: RNAcentral